GGUUAAGCGACUAAGCGUACACGGUGGAUGCCCUGGCAGUCAGAGGCGAUGAAGGACGUGCUAAUCUGCGAUAAGCGUCGGUAAGGUGAUAUGAACCGUUAUAACCGGCGAUUUCCGAAUGGGGAAACCCAGUGUGAUUCGUCACACUAUCAUUAACUGAAUCCAUAGGUUAAUGAGGCGAACCGGGGGAACUGAAACAUCUAAGUACCCCGAGGAAAAGAAAUCAACCGAGAUUCCCCCAGUAGCGGCGAGCGAACGGGGAGCAGCCCAGAGCCUGAAUCAGUGUGUGUGUUAGUGGAAGCGUCUGGAAAGGCGUGCGAUACAGGGUGACAGCCCCGUACACAAAAAUGCACAUACUGUGAGCUCGAUGAGUAGGGCGGGACACGUGGUAUCCUGUCUGAAUAUGGGGGGACCAUCCUCCAAGGCUAAAUACUCCUGACUGACCGAUAGUGAACCAGUACCGUGAGGGAAAGGCGAAAAGAACCCCGGCGAGGGGAGUGAAAAAGAACCUGAAACCGUGUACGUACAAGCAGUGGGAGCACAGAGCAAUCUGUGUGACUGCGUACCUUUUGUAUAAUGGGUCAGCGACUUAUAUUCUGUAGCAAGGUUAACCGAAUAGGGGAGCCGAAGGGAAACCGAGUCUUAACUGGGCGUUAAGUUGCAGGGUAUAGACCCGAAACCCGGUGAUCUAGCCAUGGGCAGGUUGAAGGUUGGGUAACACUAACUGGAGGACCGAACCGACUAAUGUUGAAAAAUUAGCGGAUGACUUGUGGCUGGGGGUGAAAGGCCAAUCAAACCGGGAGAUAGCUGGUUCUCCCCGAAAGCUAUUUAGGUAGCGCCUCGUGAAUUCAUCUCCGGGGGUAGAGCACUGUUUCGGCAAGGGGGUCAUCCCGACUUACCAACCCGAUGCAAACUGCGAAUACCGGAGAAUGUUAUCACGGGAGACACACGGCGGGUGCUAACGUCCGUCGUGAAGAGGGAAACAACCCAGACCGCCAGCUAAGGUCCCAAAGUCAUGGUUAAGUGGGAAACGAUGUGGGAAGGCCCAGACAGCCAGGAUGUUGGCUUAGAAGCAGCCAUCAUUUAAAGAAAGCGUAAUAGCUCACUGGUCGAGUCGGCCUGCGCGGAAGAUGUAACGGGGCUAAACCAUGCACCGAAGCUGCGGCAGCGACGCUUAUGCGUUGUUGGGUAGGGGAGCGUUCUGUAAGCCUGCGAAGGUGUGCUGUGAGGCAUGCUGGAGGUAUCAGAAGUGCGAAUGCUGACAUAAGUAACGAUAAAGCGGGUGAAAAGCCCGCUCGCCGGAAGACCAAGGGUUCCUGUCCAACGUUAAUCGGGGCAGGGUGAGUCGACCCCUAAGGCGAGGCCGAAAGGCGUAGUCGAUGGGAAACAGGUUAAUAUUCCUGUACUUGGUGUUACUGCGAAGGGGGGACGGAGAAGGCUAUGUUGGCCGGGCGACGGUUGUCCCGGUUUAAGCGUGUAGGCUGGUUUUCCAGGCAAAUCCGGAAAAUCAAGGCUGAGGCGUGAUGACGAGGCACUACGGUGCUGAAGCAACAAAUGCCCUGCUUCCAGGAAAAGCCUCUAAGCAUCAGGUAACAUCAAAUCGUACCCCAAACCGACACAGGUGGUCAGGUAGAGAAUACCAAGGCGCUUGAGAGAACUCGGGUGAAGGAACUAGGCAAAAUGGUGCCGUAACUUCGGGAGAAGGCACGCUGAUAUGUAGGUGAAGUCCCUCGCGGAUGGAGCUGAAAUCAGUCGAAGAUACCAGCUGGCUGCAACUGUUUAUUAAAAACACAGCACUGUGCAAACACGAAAGUGGACGUAUACGGUGUGACGCCUGCCCGGUGCCGGAAGGUUAAUUGAUGGGGUCAGCGCAAGCGAAGCUCUUGAUCGAAGCCCCGGUAAACGGCGGCCGUAACUAUAACGGUCCUAAGGUAGCGAAAUUCCUUGUCGGGUAAGUUCCGACCUGCACGAAUGGCGUAAUGAUGGCCAGGCUGUCUCCACCCGAGACUCAGUGAAAUUGAACUCGCUGUGAAGAUGCAGUGUACCCGCGGCAAGACGGAAAGACCCCGUGAACCUUUACUAUAGCUUGACACUGAACAUUGAGCCUUGAUGUGUAGGAUAGGUGGGAGGCUUUGAAGUGUGGACGCCAGUCUGCAUGGAGCCGACCUUGAAAUACCACCCUUUAAUGUUUGAUGUUCUAACGUUGACCCGUAAUCCGGGUUGCGGACAGUGUCUGGUGGGUAGUUUGACUGGGGCGGUCUCCUCCUAAAGAGUAACGGAGGAGCACGAAGGUUGGCUAAUCCUGGUCGGACAUCAGGAGGUUAGUGCAAUGGCAUAAGCCAGCUUGACUGCGAGCGUGACGGCGCGAGCAGGUGCGAAAGCAGGUCAUAGUGAUCCGGUGGUUCUGAAUGGAAGGGCCAUCGCUCAACGGAUAAAAGGUACUCCGGGGAUAACAGGCUGAUACCGCCCAAGAGUUCAUAUCGACGGCGGUGUUUGGCACCUCGAUGUCGGCUCAUCACAUCCUGGGGCUGAAGUAGGUCCCAAGGGUAUGGCUGUUCGCCAUUUAAAGUGGUACGCGAGCUGGGUUUAGAACGUCGUGAGACAGUUCGGUCCCUAUCUGCCGUGGGCGCUGGAGAACUGAGGGGGGCUGCUCCUAGUACGAGAGGACCGGAGUGGACGCAUCACUGGUGUUCGGGUUGUCAUGCCAAUGGCACUGCCCGGUAGCUAAAUGCGGAAGAGAUAAGUGCUGAAAGCAUCUAAGCACGAAACUUGCCCCGAGAUGAGUUCUCCCUGACUCCUUGAGAGUCCUGAAGGAACGUUGAAGACGACGACGUUGAUAGGCCGGGUGUGUAAGCGCAGCGAUGCGUUGAGCUAACCGGUACUAAUGAACCGUGAGGCUUAACCUU
This 2906-nucleotide ribosomal RNA is filed under the name Escherichia coli. RNAcentral's name for it is "23S ribosomal RNA". It matches the Rfam family "Bacterial large subunit ribosomal RNA". Lineage: Bacteria; Pseudomonadati; Pseudomonadota; Gammaproteobacteria; Enterobacterales; Enterobacteriaceae. The record is from RNAcentral.